UUUGUGGAGCGAAGCCCAUUUAACUACAAACCGGACGACCCUAAUCCCCGUUAUCCCAUCUGCCGCCGUCUUCUUCCUUUCUCAAUCCAGAUCCAAUCUUCGCCUCCCCUCCGCCGCUCCUCCCCCUCAACCCCCACGCUCCCACUCCCAUCCACCUCCGCCGCCCUAACCAUCGACGCAACAACCGCCCCCACCGACGGCCUCGAGUCCUCGGAGUAAGCCCCUGCAGCGCCCGUGGUGGCAGAGGAGCUGCCGCCACCGCAGGCAGUCGGGCCCGGGAGGUGGAGCCUCUGCACGAGCAUUCGGUCUGGUGAAGCAACAGGACGACCCGCCUGUAGAACUCUGUGCGCCUUCUCUUCUGGACCCUCUCAGCUCGUCUAUGGCGUGAUCUCCGCUGGAGCUGCCGCGUUUCCUCCCGGAUGCUAUGCUCCUGAACGCGGCCAACCCCUCCAGCUCGUUGGUGCCUGCGUCGCCACCUUCUUGUCCCUCCUCGGUUGCCCACCGCAGUGGGAGCAGAGGUGCAGCCCGGCCGCGACGGACAUCUCCUUCUCGCGCUCCUCGCGCCUCCCGGCGUCUGCUCGUCAUCGUCAACCACCACUGCGAGCAAGCCAACCACCACGGCAACUGGAUCUGCCAUGAGGAGGACUAUCCUCCAUGGCCAACCCUCGGCCUGCCUCACCGUCAGAUCUGCCAUCCAGAGGCUCCACCCGCGAAUGGUCGAUGGAUGCAGGGGUUCACCGGCCACCUAGAUGACAACGAGCACCGUGAGGAGAUCCCCUUUUCCAGUGAACUUGCUAGUGAAGAACUAAUAACUUACUAAGAUAAUGGACACUUCAGUCAGUCUGUUUGAAUUUUGUGUUAUAUAGAUCAGCACCUUCUGUGAUUUGGGGGCACUUUUAUGUGCAUAGAUACUUGGCACUUUGAGAAAUAUUCCAGCAGCUUUUUUGUGCAGGUGCAACAAGUCAGUUUUAGUAUCAACACUUUGAGAAAUAUAAAAUUCUAGUGCAACCUGUAUUUGCAUUCUGAGUUAGCUGCUUGAUUAGAUGCAUGCAUGCGUGCUUUAGAAAAAUACAUAUGCACAUGUGAAAUGGCUGCAUUGUUAAGGUCCAGUUCCAAACAAAUUUUGGCGGAAUUCAUUUAGUUAGUGUUGAUGCCAAGCUGAAAGAUAUUUUGGCAAUUCAUUCAGUUCCAUUCUUUGUCAUAUUUUGCAGCUUCAGGUGCUCAAUCAUGCCACUAGUUUCGUAGACUGAGAUGGAAAGGAGGGCAUUUCUUGCGGAAGAUGAACACACGGCAAGGUGUAUGCUAACCUAAGGAAUGCACAUAUCGGAGGUUCUUUAACCAUUAUAACUCUAGCUCUGGGCACUGGGAGAAGUUAAUUGUGAGACUUGAGCACAAGAGAGAGCACUUCAAGAGAUAAAGAGGAAGCAACAAAAAGAUCUGAAUAUGUGAAGAAGAUUCAGCAAGACAAGAGCGAAGCCCGAAAAAGAAGCCACACGAAAUGGAUAAACUGAUUGGCCUUCUCUUAAGGGCUCGAGCAACUUCGUAGUCCCAAUCCAAACUUGUGCAUGAAGGCCAUUGGGGCAACAAUUUUGUGGUCUUUAGUUCACUAAAUAUUAGUACUUUGCAACUUUUUAUUGUCGAGCUUGUGUAUCUGUGUUAUUUCUAUUUAGAGGAUGAUUUGGGUGAGAUAAUGGAAUUUAUAAUAUGAUUUGUCUUUUA
This is a long non-coding RNA of Triticum urartu, 1719 nucleotides long. RefSeq lists it as uncharacterized. Lineage: Eukaryota; Viridiplantae; Streptophyta; Magnoliopsida; Poales; Poaceae. The record is from RefSeq and is a predicted model, not a curated record.